RNAcentral lists this ribosomal RNA (702 nucleotides) under uncultured bacterium. RNAcentral describes it as "bacterial SSU rRNA". It matches the Rfam family "Bacterial small subunit ribosomal RNA", at positions 28 to 776 of the family's 1533-position model. The record is from RNAcentral.
AACGAACGCUGGCGGCACGCCUAACACAUGCAAGUCGAGCGCUACCUUCGGGUGGAGCGGCGGACGGGUUAGUAACGCGUGGGAACAUACCCUUUUCUGAGGAAUAACCAUUGGAAACGAUGACUAAUACCUCAUACGCCCUUCGGGGGAAAGAUUUAUCGGUGAAGGAUUGGCCCGCGUUAGAUUAGAUAGUUGGUGGGGUAAUGGCCUACCAAGUCUACGAUCUAUAGCUGGUUUGAGAGGAUGAUCAGCAACACUGGGACUGAGACACGGCCCAGACUCCUACGGGAGGCAGCAGUGGGGAAUCUUAGACAAUGGGCGCAAGCCUGAUCUAGCGAUGCCGCGUGUGUGACGAAGGUCUUAGGAUCGUAAAGCACUUUCGCCAGGGAUGAUAAUGACAGUACCUGGUAAAGAAACCCCGGCUAACUCCGUGCCAGCAGCCGCGGUAAUACGGAGGGGGUUAGCGUUGUUCGGAAUUACUGGGCGUAAAGCGCACGUAGGCGGAUCAGCAAGUUAGGGGUGAAAUCCCGGGGCUCAACCCCGGAACUGCCCUUAAAACUGUUGGUCUUGAGUUCGAGAGAGGUAAGUGGAAUUCCAAGUGUAGAGGUGAAAUUCGUAGAUAUUUGGAGGAACACCAGUGGCGAAGGCGGCUUACUGGCUCGAUACUGACGCUGAGGUGCGAAAGCGUGGGGAGCAAACAGG